This is a long non-coding RNA of Psammomys obesus (fat sand rat), 974 nucleotides long. RefSeq lists it as uncharacterized. The record is from RefSeq and is a predicted model, not a curated record. NCBI's taxonomy places the organism in Eukaryota, Metazoa, Chordata, Mammalia, Rodentia, Muridae. The transcript is spliced from 4 exons.
CUACGACCUGCGCACAACGCGGGACGCAGACGCGCGCGCGGGGCGCGGGGAGACAGCAGUUUUCAAGUUCUGGAAGAAUGGCCGUACAUCAGAAGUAAUGACAAAGAGGAUGAAUCUGAAAGAUCCGCUUUCCUGUUAAGAUAAAUGCAUUUGAUAAUUGUUCACAGCUGAUGUCCAGAACGUCCUGUUUCAUUUAAUACUCAAUCAAAACAUUAAAUGAAAAUGGAAAAGAUUUGGUUCCCCACCAGUAAAAUGAGGUAAUUAUGUGAAACUGAUCACGCUGUUGAAGAGUUGAAAAGAGAGAAUGUACAUCAGUAUCCAGCUCAGGUCCCUGCCUGUGGAAGGAGAGAUUGUGAAAAAGUAGAACAACAGAGACGCGUGCUGUUGCUCCUGUAACUUGGAACUGGAGAGGAGGCAAGAUGCUGGCAUAGCUGUUGAACUGAGAACCUGCUAUGCCAACAUAUUGCCAUCUUUCCUGUCUGACUGCAGCUUGGCCACCUCCGGGCCAUUCCUCCAUGUAUUGCUGCGUGUAGGGGUUUUGUGACUUGAUCUGCCUCACCCUGACUUCUCUCUAGACUUGUACCAAAGCCCUCACUCCAUUCUAGCCACACUGGCCUGUGGGGGCUGUUCUUAGACACACCAGGGAUGUCCCUGCCUUUUUACCCACCUGCCUCUGUUUAUCAUUGGGUCUCAAAGAACUCUUUCAUAGUGGCACUGUCUAUAAAACCUUCCAUGCGCCCAGCCACCGUUCAUCUCAUGACCCUGCUGUCUUUUCAGAAACAUCAGUCACUACCCAAACAUGUUUGUUUGCUUGAUUGCUGCCUAUUUCCUGUACCAGAUUAUGAGUUCUUUAAAGUACACCAAUCUUCACUCAUUCACUGUAUCCCUAAACCAUGGCAUUUGUAAAUCCUCAAUUCGUGUUUUUGAAACUUUAUCUUGAACUUAUUGUGCAAUAAAGGUGUCAGAUAAUUAGA